RNAcentral lists this ribosomal RNA (497 nucleotides) under uncultured bacterium. RNAcentral describes it as "partial 16S ribosomal RNA". It matches the Rfam family "Bacterial small subunit ribosomal RNA", at positions 28 to 507 of the family's 1533-position model. The record is from RNAcentral.
GACGAACGCUGGCGGCGUGCCUAAUACAUGCAAGUUGAGCGCUGAAGGUUGGUACUUGUACCGACUGGAUGAGCAGCGAACGGGUGAGUAACGCGUGGGGAAUCUGCCUUUGAGCGGGGGACAACAUUUGGAAACGAAUGCUAAUACCGCAUAAAAACUUUAAACACAAGUUUUAAGUUUGAAAGAUGCAAUUGCAUCACUCAAAGAUGAUCCCGCGUUGUAUUAGCUAGUUGGUGAGGUAAAGGCUCACCAAGGCGAUGAUACAUAGCCGACCUGAGAGGGUGAUCGGCCACAUUGGGACUGAGACACGGCCCAAACUCCUACGGGAGGCAGCAGUAGGGAAGCUUCGGCAAUGGACGAAAGUCUGACCGAGCAACGCCGCGGGAGUGAAGAAGGGUUUCGGAUCGUAAAACUCUGUUGGUAGAGAAGAACGUUGGUGAGAGUGGAAAGCUCAUCAAGUGACGGUAACUACCCAGAAAGGGACGGCUAACUACGUG